AGUCGUAAUAAAUACGACUGAAUUUUGUCAAAUCGAGCUCAGUCAAGUGUAACGAAAAUAAGAUUAUCAACAAUGAAAAUAUUUUUUUUUUUUGUCGGAAUUGUCUACAUUUUCUGUGGCAUUUAUCCGGCGUACAGUGGCGAAACGCCGGAUUAUUUACUAGAUGGAAAUGAAUGGAUGCUGGAUCGUGAACGCAGAUGUUUCAAUGAGGGCUAUCAUCGCUGUUUGUUGGAUACGAGUCAUCUAUCAUAUCAAGUCGUAGAAUGUUGUCCUGAAUUGAUUUGUAGCAAAGUGGAAGGAAAUAGUGAGGAAGAUACAGGAAAAUGCGUUUCGAAACCAGAUGAUUAAAUGAGUUAUGACGCUUACGAAUUGUUUUACAUUGAACAUUAAAUGCUAAUAAAUUAAAUUAAAAUUAAUAUUUAAAUGAGGUACAC
Molecule: long non-coding RNA, 434 nt
Organism: Bradysia coprophila
Lineage: Eukaryota; Metazoa; Arthropoda; Insecta; Diptera; Sciaridae
Source: RefSeq, a predicted model, not a curated record